This 324-nucleotide ribosomal RNA is filed under the name uncultured eukaryote. RNAcentral describes it as "partial 18S ribosomal RNA". It matches the Rfam family "Eukaryotic small subunit ribosomal RNA", at positions 1470 to 1796 of the family's 1831-position model. The record is from RNAcentral.
CCCUUAGAUGUUCUGGGCUGCACGCGCGCUACACUGAUGCGAUCAACAAGUUUUUCCUAUGUCGAUAGACACGGGUAAUCUUUUGAACUCGCAUCGUGAUGGGGAUAGAUUAUUGUAAUUAUUAAUCUUCAACGAGGAAUUCCUAGUAGGUGCAAAUCAUCAGUUUGCAUCGAUUACGUCCCUACCCUUUGUACACACCGCCCGUCGCUGCUACCGAUUGGUUGAUCUGGUGAAUUAUUCGGACUGCCGGCUGAAGGGGUUUCCUCAUCUGCCAGCGGAAAGUCUUGUUAACCCUAUCAACUAGAGGAAGCAGAAGUCGUAACA